AACGAACGCUGGCGGCAUGCCUAACACAUGCAAGUCGAACGAUGUCUUUCGGGGCAUAGUGGCGCACGGGUGCGUAACGCGUGGGAAUCUGCCCUUGGGUUCGGAAUAACCGUUGGAAACGACGGCUAAUACCGGAUGAUGUCGAUAAGACCAAAGAUUUAUCGCCUGAGGAUGAGCCCGCGUAGGAUUAGCUAGUUGGUGUGGUAAGAGCGCACCAAGGCGACGAUCCUUAGCUGGUCUGAGAGGAUGAUCAGCCACACUGGGACUGAGACACGGCCCAGACUCCUACGGGAGGCAGCAGUGGGGAAUAUUGGACAAUGGGCGCAAGCCUGAUCCAGCAAUGCCGCGUGAGUGAUGAAGGCCUUAGGGUUGUAAAGCUCUUUUACCCGGGAUGAUAAUGACAGUACCGGGAGAAUAAGCUCCGGCUAACUCCGUGCCAGCAGCCGCCGUAA
This 452-nucleotide ribosomal RNA is filed under the name uncultured bacterium. Its description in RNAcentral is "partial 16S ribosomal RNA". It matches the Rfam family "Bacterial small subunit ribosomal RNA", at positions 29 to 523 of the family's 1533-position model. The record is from RNAcentral.